Bombus impatiens (common eastern bumble bee) is the source of this 1895-nucleotide long non-coding RNA. RefSeq lists it as uncharacterized. NCBI's taxonomy places the organism in Eukaryota, Metazoa, Arthropoda, Insecta, Hymenoptera, Apidae. The record is from RefSeq and is a predicted model, not a curated record. The transcript has 2 exons.
AAACAUUACACGAAAUGAGAAAUCCUUCUCUUCUAAAUAGUAUCAAGUAAUAACGUUGAUGCAGCGAGGGUUGGCUGUAUCGGGUUCCCACGCAAAUUGCAAUGAAACCAACUGGCCACAACGUUACCUGACACACGUGGCGCGUUGAUAAUUGAAAUUAUUUGACGACAACGAGCCACGCAGUCGAAACGUAAAACGUAUAAUUAAAGUUCAAGAUCGAGGCCCGGCUAUCGAUCGGGACACGCAGAGACCACAAAUUUCCUUUUGUCCGUGCUGAGAAGCUACGAGGUGAGAAGGUGAUUCGUGUGUUUUUUUCGGGAUUUCCACUGGUCCCAUUGAUUUUAGAGGAUUUCAGUACGAGCAUAGUUCGCUUAGAAAUUGAUUCCAACAUACUGGUAGCCGUUGCAGCUAAGAAUCUUCAUCAGAGGGAUUUAACGACACAGCAAAAUAUCUUUCCCCCUCGGCAAUUUCAAAAUAUUUUUUAAAACAUUACGAAGAAUGAAAGCAAAAAAUGGGAAUGGAUUAUGCAAAACUACGAAUAAUCUCGUUCGAUAAACUGUCCAUUUGCCAGAUAGACCCGUUCCUGUCCCCAACCGCGUCGAUCGAAUCAACGCGUCGCAGGGAUCUCCGUACAUUUCUCUAUCGCUCUUUCGGCUCUCUUGAAAAAAAAAAGUAGAAUACAACGAUAGACACAAGCAUCCAGCGUAACGAUCCAUCGAGGAAUUCGGGUGCGACGGAGAAAGGUUCGGCCGGAACGAGCACAAUGAGCACAGGAUAUCGAACAGAGUUGGCUGCGGCUCGCAGGAAAUUUAUGGUACGUCGCGAGGAUCCGCCUUGGCGUGCAAUAAGAUAGCGAGUUUGCGUGCCGGCCACGAGGAUAGCGUAGGUGUAAGUUUAUGCGGGUCGUUCCGUGCAUGGCCCCCUCGUUUCCUCCGUAAUUCCACCGGGUCGCGAAACUAUCCCGCGUGUGCUUCAGUCCGGACUGCCCCGUACUCUCCGUGUGUCCGUGUGCAUCCAGCUCGGGGCGUGUACUUUCCAUUGAAAUAUCGUCACGAGUGUCCGGACUGGCCAUGUUUCAGGUAGCCACUCGUCGAUAGCGAUUCGCGGAGUCUCUGUAUCGUUCGUGGAACGGGUUACAAGCGUGUAAUUUGCAACGGAACAACACCGUCCAGCUCUCGACGAUGCUCGUAUCGGAGGAAAAAGAAGCGACGUCGCGAAGCCGCUUCCGUGGCUGAGCGUUUUAUGUCGAGUGUGUCCUCGAACGCGAGCAACAAGCUUUAAUCGAGCGCGAUAACGCUACGUAUCGUGUCCCCGAUUCGUCAUCGAACUGCGCAUCUAUACGUCGACCAGACGAAACAAGAUUUACGAUUUCCAUCGGCAUUCUUUUUAUAAGGAUUCGGGAUUCUUAGCGAGAAGCGCCAACGUUCGAUCCUCGCUCAGUUGGUCGAUGUUUUCUCGUUGGGAAAAUCCACAGAGUUGAUGUACGCCGUCUGCGAUACUCUGUUCCGCCGUGAAAUCGUCGUCCGUGUAGUGGCCACUGAUCGGAAUUAGGUUUCUACGAUUGCCACGGAUCUUUGCUCGUUGCUGGUAGUAGUUUGCCGGCUUGAGAGGGCGGUUGAUUAAAUUUAACCUACAUUGCUGACACCUGAACCGAAGUAUUUGAUUAGACACGAACGAACGAUCACACGUCCGACCAAGGUGCAUCGAUCUUUCGGAUCGCAUCGACGCGGCGACUGUGCGUUAAAAUUUCGUCGAAUCGCAGACCGACGAGAUUAGAGGAAUAACUCGAGUCGCGUCGUCUCCGACCAUCGUUAAUAUCACAUCCGGUCGUGCGUUUUACCUUUUAAAUCAUCGCCAAAUCCUUAGAUUUGGGUAAAUGUAAAGCUAGCAACGUG